RNAcentral lists this ribosomal RNA (1402 nucleotides) under uncultured bacterium. Its description in RNAcentral is "bacterial SSU rRNA". It matches the Rfam family "Bacterial small subunit ribosomal RNA". The record is from RNAcentral.
GAGUUUGAUCAUGGCUCAGGAUGAACGCUAGCGGCAGGCCUAACACAUGCAAGUCGAGGGGGAGGUUACUUUCGGGUAACUGAGACCGGCGUACGGGUGCGUAACGCGUAUACAAUCUGCCUUUCACUGGGGGAUAGCCCGAAGAAAUUUGGAUUAAUACCCCAUAGUAUAGUAAUACGGCAUCGUGAUACUAUUAAAGCUUAGGUGGUGAAAGAUGAGUAUGCGUUCUAUUAGCUAGUUGGAGAGGUAACGGCUCCCCAAGGCGAUGAUAGAUAGGGGUUCUGAGAGGGAUGUCCCCCACACUGGUACUGAGAUACGGACCAGACUCCUACGGGAGGCAGCAGUGAGGAAUAUUGGACAAUGGUCGGAAGACUGAUCCAGCCAUGCCGCGUGCAGGAUGACGGCCUUAUGGGUUGUAAACUGCUUUUGUAAGGGAAGAAUAAGGACUACGUGUAGUUUGAUGACGGUACCUUAUGAAUAAGCAUCGGCUAACUCCGUGCCAGCAGCCGCGGUAAUACGGAGGAUGCGAGCGUUAUCCGGAAUCAUUGGGUUUAAAGGGUCUGUAGGCGGGCUUGUAAGUCAGAGGUGAAAGCGCUUAGCUCAACUAAGCAACUGCCUUUGAAACUGUUGGUCUUGAAUGGUUGUGAAGUAGUUGGAAUGUGUAGUGUAGCGGUGAAAUGCUUAGAUAUUACACAGAACACCGAUAGCGAAGGCAUAUUACUAACAAUUAAUUGACGCUGAGGAGCGAAAGCGUGGGGAGCGAACAGGAUUAGAUACCCUGGUAGUCCACGCUGUAAACGUUGGGCACUAGGUGUGGGGGGUCUUUCCGGGUCUUCCGCGCCGUAGCUAACGCAUUAAGUGCCCCGCCUGGGGAGUACGGCCGCAAGGCUAAAACUCAAAGGAAUUGACGGGGGCCCGCACAAGCGGCGGAGCAUGCGGAUUAAUUCGAUGCAACGCGAAGAACCUUACCAAGGCUUGACAUGUGCCGGUUGUCCUUCGGAGACGGGGGGUCCUCCCUAUUUGUGGGGGUCGGUUCACAGGUGGUGCAUGGUUGUCGUCAGCUCGUGUCGUGAGAUGUUGGGUUAAGUCCCGCAACGAGCGCAACCCUUGUCCCGUGUUGCCAGCACGUUGUGGUGGGGACUCGCGGGAGACUGCCGGGGUUAACUCGGAGGAGGGUGGGGAUGACGUCAAAUCAUCAUGCCCCUUAUGUCUUGGGCUUCACGCAUGCUACAAUGGCCGGUACAGUGGGUUGCGAUGUCGUGAGGCGGAGCGAAUCCCUUAAAGCCGGUCUCAGUUCGGAUCGGUGUCUGCAACUCGACACCGUGAAGCUGGAGUCGCUAGUAAUCGCAGAUCAGCAGCGCUGCGGUGAAUACGUUCUCGGGCCUUGUACACACCGCCCGUC